CUUAAAUAUGAGAGUGAAGAGAAAAAAUGAUAAAUAUCCUGUAGCCUAUAAGAAUACAAGUUAUUGCCUCAUAAUUAUUGCCAGCUAAUAUUUCAGAACUAUAAUAUGCUGAAGUUAAUAUUCAGGCUUUGAAACAGGUGUAUGUUUAUUAACCAGACGUAGCCAAACUGCUAGUCUCAUAAUCCCUAAAGUAACGACUUUCAAUAUUAUUCCUUGCUUAUUCAAUUUCGGCCUUUGUGGCUAUGUCUUAAAACUUACAAUGUAUGGAUUUUCUUGAUAUUAUAUAAGUUCUCUAACUAGAUCUUUUGUCCAUAUGUUUGAUUUAAUUGCAUCCAACUUCCUUCAUGGUCAGAUAAGUGCUAAUGGAAGGAUGAGAACUAAGUAAUGAUGUUCUAGAAGACAAUGUAAUGAAUAAUGUGAGUGAGCCCUUUGCCCUAUGGUUUAUGGAGAGGCCUAAAUGCCAUGGCAAUGAAAAUGUCUGUUACUAUGGCCAAAAACAAUUAGUCCCAAUAAAAUUGGGAAAAGAUUAAAAAUCUUCUGAUGAGUGUUUGGCAAAGUAAUAAUAAUCCAGAUUUUUGUGUUGACAGUUAUGAAGAUAAUAUGUUUUCUACUAAUUCUUUUUGUGUUUCAAUAGCAGAUUGUGAUGACCUUGGACCAAGAGCCAAGUGAGUGAAAGAAAAUUUCCCAGUUACAUUCCUUUUUUUAUAUUAAGAAAGGGGGAAUAUGUGGGAGGCCAACCUUACGGGUGACUGAGUUAUACUCCCCAGCUGGGUGCUGAGGCGCUCAGUCACAGAAAUGGGUGUGUCUUGCUACAGCCCCAUGGGUGAA
Molecule: long non-coding RNA, 828 nt
Filed under: Marmota monax (woodchuck)
Lineage: Eukaryota; Metazoa; Chordata; Mammalia; Rodentia; Sciuridae
Source: RNAcentral